RNAcentral lists this transfer RNA (68 nucleotides) under Aeolesthes oenochrous. RNAcentral describes it as "tRNA-Asp". It matches the Rfam family "tRNA". Rfam says of the family: Transfer RNA (tRNA) molecules are approximately 80 nucleotides in length. Their secondary structure includes four short double-helical elements and three loops (D, anti-codon, and T loops). Lineage: Eukaryota; Metazoa; Arthropoda; Insecta; Coleoptera; Cerambycidae. The record is from RNAcentral.
UAAAAAUUUAGUUAAAUCAUAACAUUAGCUUGUCAAGCUAAAAUUAUUAGAAGUAUAAUAAUUUUUAA